AUGGAACACGGUCCUUCACAUAGCGGCCAGCCAGGGCCACGUCCUUCUGGUGAGAAGGCUCUUCGCGGGCACGCCGGCGGAUGCUGCCGAGCUUCUCCCACGCGGGAACUCCAAGUCCGAGACGGCGCUGCACGUCGCCGCGAGGGCGGGGCACCACGAGAUGGUCUCCCUCCUCAUCAGGCUGGCCCAAGACCGUGCGCAUGGGCCAGGGGCGGCGCGGGUUCUGCUGUCGAGGAACAGCCGAGGGGACACGGGCACACGGCGUUGCAUGUGGCGGCGCGGCACGGGCGCCGGGCGGUGGUGGAGAGGCUGAUGGUGGCUGCUCCGGCCUUGUCGUGCGGUGUGAACGACGCUGGGGUGUCGCCCCUCUAUCUCGCCGUGUCAUGCCGCUCGACAGGCAUCGUGAAAGCUCUGGUCGGACGUAGGCACGCAGCUGCCUCUGCGUCUGGCCCCAACGGCCAGAAUGCUCUGCACGCAGCUGUUCUACAAAGCGCAGAAAUUACAAGUUAUGUUUUGAGAUGGAGCCUGGAUCUGGCUAAAGAAACUGAUGGAUUGGGAAGCACUCCCCUGCAUUAUGCUGCGUCCGACGGCGACCCGGAGAUCGUCAGCCAGCUUAUUAGCUCAGCGCCGUCAGCCAUAUAUCUGCAAGACCAACAAGGCUUCACUCCUCUGCAUAUCGCGGCAUGGAUGGGCCAUGUGGACGUCAUCCGCGACAUCUUACAAGCUUGCCCAGACGCGGCAGAGGUUACCGACAACAACGGCAGAAACUUCCUCCAUGUUGCCAUCGAGCGCGGCCACGAAUCCGUGGUAAAAUACGUCGUCGGUAGCACGUUCGCCGGCGGAGUGGUGAAUGAGCAAGACAAUAACGGGAACACGCCGCUGCACUCGGCCGUGCUUGCUGGGAAGCCAAAGCUUGCAAUUUUGCAGAGCGAGCUCCUUGACUUGAACAUUGCUAACAAUGAAGGGAGGACACCAUUUGACCUCGUCUCGGAUAUUACCAGCUUCUUGCCCAUGAUCGGCUUUGUGCUCAAGCUAUCAGCCCGGGGAGUUUGUAUCGGGACGCGACGCCAAGACUUCAUACUCCCGUGGAAGGGCGUAGAGAUGAAGGAAUGGAUCGAGAAAUUAUCCAAGAACCUAGGCAUUGUGGCAGUGCUCAUCGCCACCAUCGCCUUGACCGCCAUGUUCAACGUGCCAGGCGGAUACGACUCCAAGGGCAUGCCAAACCUGCGGGGUACGUUUCCCUACAACGCCUUUCUGGUGCUCGAUACUAUGGCGGUCGCUUCCUCCAUGAUCGCCACCAUGCUUCUCAUCUACGGGAGGGGAGCAGCGGUGCGGUCGAGUGCGGCGUGGAUAUGCUUGGCCCUCAUCUUCCUUUGGUACGCGCUCAUGGGCAUGAUCCUGUCUUUCAUGGCCGCCGUGGUCCCAGGGCUGGACAAUGCUAUCUUGAUCAAAAGGAUCAUGUGGUGCAUCUUCGCGUUGCCGUUCUUCUCCUUGGUCGUGCUUAGCUUUGUGUGGGCAGCACCGGCACCAACCAUCACCAGCGUAGGGCUACUGUUCCGUGCCCAAAUCGGAGAAGACCGCAUGCGCACAAGAAGGCACGCCGGGCGACGUUUCCCCCUAGUGGGUUUCUACCUCAGUGUUCUCUACUUGUUCUGGUUCCUCAAUGCUAUAGCUUUUGCUUUCACUCUGCAUAUCAUCAUGAUCACAGUCUGA
This 1713-nucleotide ribosomal RNA is filed under the name Triticum aestivum (bread wheat). Its description in RNAcentral is "partial small subunit ribosomal RNA". Lineage: Eukaryota; Viridiplantae; Streptophyta; Magnoliopsida; Poales; Poaceae. The record is from RNAcentral.